UACGAAGGGGGGCUAGCGUUGCUCGGAAUCACUGGGCGUAAAGCGCACGUAGGCGGCUUUUUAAGUCAGGGGUGAAAUCCUGGAGCUCAACUCCAGAACUGCCUUUGAUACUGAGAGGCUCGAGUCCGGGAGAGGUGAGUGGAACUGCGAGUGUAGAGGUGAAAUUCGUAGAUAUUAGGAAGAACACCAGCGGCGAAGGCGGCUCACUGGUCCGGUACUGACGCUGAGGUGCGAAAGCGUGGGGAGCAAACAGG
This 254-nucleotide ribosomal RNA is filed under the name uncultured bacterium. RNAcentral describes it as "partial 16S ribosomal RNA". It matches the Rfam family "Bacterial small subunit ribosomal RNA", at positions 524 to 776 of the family's 1533-position model. The record is from RNAcentral.